This 1485-nucleotide long non-coding RNA is filed under the name Callithrix jacchus (white-tufted-ear marmoset). RNAcentral's name for it is "lncRNA (ENSCJAG00000083770.1)". The record is from RNAcentral. Lineage: Eukaryota; Metazoa; Chordata; Mammalia; Primates; Cebidae.
UUUUUGAGAAUCUUGGAGAUGCUGGAAAGAGAGUUUUAUUUUUGAAUCCAAGUCUUGGAUCCUCUCUACUUAACAGGCCUUCCUGUUUAUCUCGCUUGUCUAGCAUUUUAUUAUAAGCAGCAGAAAGAAGCCAGGAAGCAUUUCUACACUCUACCCAGAAAUCUCCUGAAAUAAAUUAUCCAUUUCACUAAGUACAUUUUCUACUUACUACUUUAUUGUGAGUGUAGUGUUGCUAAACUUUUUGCCAGUAUAUAACAAGGAUUCCCUUUCUUUGAGUUCCCAAUUUUCCUCUUUAAUUUUCUUUUUAUAAUUUUUCCCUGACAGUCUCCAGCAGGCUUCCACUCUCAGCCUUUUCAAAGGCCUUUCAACUUCCAUCUAUCUCCCAUUCAUUGCCACUGUGGCUUUUUAAAGUCUUUGUUACAUAAGACCCCAUUCUUGGCACCAAAAUUAGUUUCAAGUACUUAAUUCUCAAAACUAAGUUGUUUAUAUUGUCUAUCAUAGUUUAUGUGUGUUGGAAAUGCAGAUAGGGUAUGUGAGAUAAUUAAUCUUUACUCCAGAGGUUUGGAACCUUGGUUGGAAGAAUAAAAAGGUUGAGCACUGGAAUCCUUUGAAGUCUUGUUUUCUUACCUGUCUGGGAUUGAUGCUGUCUAUUGAUGGGGAAUUCAGUUUCUUUUCCUGUUAUUUUCUGUGUGCUCUCCAAAUGUGGCCUGGGUUAGAGUUAACUCACAGCGUGCUUGAGUUCUAAAGUCCAAAUUCAAGGAAGCAAGAAAGACACACAGACAGGCAGACAGACAGACAAGAGAAGAGAAUAAUAUUUAUGACCUUACUGUAGAAGUCUUAUAGUGUUAUGUCUUCCAUACUUAUUUACAAAAGGAGUCACAAAGCCCAGUGGGAUUCCAGGGGCUUUGAGUUCUGGAGACUGGGAAGACCAAGAACUAAGUGCCAGGAGAGUAUCUGGUAAGAGCUCACUCUCUGCUCCAUAGGUAGUGCCUUAUCUCAGCAUAUUCACAUGGUGGAAGGGACAAAUGCUAAGUCCUCGAGCCCAUUUACAAGGGCAGUAAUCCCAUUUAUGAGAGCAGAGUUCUCAUGACUUAAUAAUUUUCCAAAGGACCCCAUCUCUUAAUAAUAUCACAUUGGGUUUUAGGUUGUAACAUGAAUUUUGGAGGGACACAUUUAGAUCACAACAUUCAUUGAAUAUUUCUUUGCUUAAUUCUUAUUCUUUCCAUUCACUACUCUUCUAUUUGACCUUCUCAUUAUAUCUUUUUGUUUCCUACUCAAUUUUCUAUAUUGUGUCCCUUUGACUCUCUUAAUUCUGGAUAGUUUUUUCUAACAUAUCUCUCAGCAUAUUACUCCUUUUAACUAAAUUCUGUUUCAGUAAAUCAGUUUUCCCACUAUAACAUCCAUUAAAUUGUUAACUUUGAUUAUUUUAUCUAUUAUAGGAUUUUACUUGGUUAUGUUUUAGACCUGUUACAUUACAUUUUAUUU